GCCCGAUGAAGAAGAAUUCCCAAAAGAUAGGAAGUGCCGUAUGACAAUUAAACGUAGAUUCGGACUG
Brassica napus (rape) is the source of this 67-nucleotide non-coding RNA. The record is from Rfam. NCBI's taxonomy places the organism in Eukaryota, Viridiplantae, Streptophyta, Magnoliopsida, Brassicales, Brassicaceae.